GCCCGUGUGGCGAAAUUGGUAGACGCAGUAGACUCAAAAUCUGCCGCUGGCAACAGCGUAUCGGUUCGACUCCGAUCAUGGGCACCA
RNAcentral lists this transfer RNA (87 nucleotides) under Solobacterium sp. RNAcentral describes it as "tRNA-Leu". It matches the Rfam family "tRNA". From Rfam's summary of the family: Transfer RNA (tRNA) molecules are approximately 80 nucleotides in length. Their secondary structure includes four short double-helical elements and three loops (D, anti-codon, and T loops). Further hydrogen bonds mediate the characteristic L-shaped molecular structure. tRNAs have two regions of fundamental functional importance: the anti-codon, which is responsible for specific mRNA codon recognition, and the 3' end, to which the tRNAs corresponding amino acid is attached (by aminoacyl-tRNA synthetases). tRNAs cope with the degeneracy of the genetic code in two manners: having more than one tRNA (with a specific anti-codon) for a particular amino acid; and 'wobble' base-pairing, i.e. permitting non-standard base-pairing at the 3rd anti-codon position. The record is from RNAcentral. Lineage: Bacteria; Bacillati; Bacillota; Erysipelotrichia; Erysipelotrichales; Erysipelotrichaceae.